GGACCAAGGAGUCUAGCAUGUGCGCGAGUCGUUGGGACUUGCGAAACCUAAAGGCGUAAUGAAAGUGAAGGCCCGCCUUGCGCGGGCCGAGGGAGGAUGGGCCGCGUCACGACGCGGCCCCGCACUCCCGGGGCGUCUCGUUCUCAUUGCGAGAAGAGGCGCACCCAGAGCGUACACGCUGGGACCCGAAAGAUGGUGAACUAUGCCUGGUCAGGACGAAGUCAGGGGAAACCCUGAUGGAGGUCCGUAGCGAUUCUGACGUGCAAAUCGAUCGUCGGAACUGGGUAUAGGGGCGAAAGACUAAUCGAACCAUCUAGUAGCUGGUUCCCUCCGAAGUUUCCCUCAGGAUAGCUGGCGCUCGCUUUUGCGAGUCUCAUCCGGUAAAGCGAAUGAUUAGAGGCAUUGGGGUCGAAACGGCCUCAACCUAUUCUCAAACUUUAAAUGGGUGAGAUCUCCGGCUUGCUCAAACUUGAAGCCGCGAGAUUAACUUAAUAUAAGGAUCAGAGUGCCAAGUGGGCCACUUUUGGUAAGCAGAACUGGCGCUGUGGGAUGAACCAAACGCAGAGUUAAAGCGCCAAAAUCGACGCUUAUGGGAUACCAUGAAAGGCGUU
This 611-nucleotide ribosomal RNA is filed under the name Hydrophilidae sp. 25 MTM-2009. RNAcentral's name for it is "eukaryotic LSU rRNA". It matches the Rfam family "Eukaryotic large subunit ribosomal RNA", at positions 663 to 1225 of the family's 3401-position model. Lineage: Eukaryota; Metazoa; Arthropoda; Insecta; Coleoptera; Hydrophilidae. RNAcentral also lists the same sequence under 1 other name. The record is from RNAcentral.